RNAcentral lists this unclassified non-coding RNA (328 nucleotides) under soil metagenome. RNAcentral's name for it is "partial contains 5.8S ribosomal RNA, internal transcribed spacer 2, and large subunit ribosomal RNA". The stretch from base 1 to 120 matches the Rfam family "5.8S ribosomal RNA", at positions 35 to 154 of the family's 154-position model. The record is from RNAcentral.
GAUGAAGAACGUAGCGAAAUGCGAUAAGUAAUGUGAAUUGCAGAAUUCAGUGAAUCAUCGAAUCUUUGAACGCACAUUGCGCCCUCUGGUAUUCCGGGGGGCAUGCCUGUUCGAGCGUCAUUAUAACCACUCAAGCUCUCGCUUGGUAUUGGGGUUCGCGGUUUCGCGGCCCCUAAAAUCAGUGGCGGUGCCUGUCGGCUCUACGCGUAGUAAUACUUCUCGCGAUUGAGUUCGAUAGGUCUACUUGCCAGUAACCCCCAAUUUUUACAGGUUGACCUCGGAUCAGGUAGGGAUACCCGCUGAACUUAAGCAUAUCAAUAAGGGAGGA